AAACCAAGCCUCAAGGAAGUUGAGUCUCCUGUCCAAGCCUACGCAGUUGGCAAGUUGCAGAUCUGGAGUAGAGUACGAGACUCUCUCAUCUGUGUCUCCAAGGGACACCGUGACCCAUCAUGGCCUCUUUCCGCUGGGUUCAGGCAUAGUCUCCGAAUUCUUCCUGUGUCAUCAUCACCCAUGCCUCCGCAUCAACCCCACCUUUGCAGGUAGCAGGUGCUAUCUACUGCCAGCCUGAAGCCAGGCUAAGAGGAAGAAAAAGAAGGAAAUGCCUGUAGAACCAUCCUAUGUAAAGAACACUUUGAGGAAAUGGUAGGCAAAUGCAGAAAACUGCAUCCUGCUCAGUCAAGCCCUGCAGGAAACACACACACAAGCAUGUGCACAUACACGUGGCCCUUCAAUGUCACCUCAGCUGUGGGUUAGGAGCUGUACCUGUCCGCACCAGGUGUUACAACCUUCUGCUCCAUCUCUAAACAGCUGACGGCUUGGAGGUGAGCUCUCAAAUGUCAACAGGUUUUGCAGACUCCAGUGGUCAGCGUUAUGUGAGCAGUUCAGACUUUCUACAGGGAUCUCAGGGGCCCAGGGUCACGUAGACCAGAACUUGACCUGGAGGCUGGUGUCUCCCAAACUGUUGUGUGGACCCUGCAACAGCUGGAGUGUCCUCAUCUUAACAGUCCCUGCCAUCUCCCAACAAGGGUGUCCACUGGCCCUCCUGGUGGUCCUGUGAGGAAGGCAGGAGUCACUGAUGCUGCUCUGUCAACAGGGACAGACGGAUUACAGCUGGUAAGUGACUUGCCCAGAGUUCUGCAGCUUGGGACUCACAGAGGAGAAGCUGGAAAUCAGGCAGGGCGGCAUCCAGCUCUCUGCUCCUCCUAAGCCAAGCUUCGCAGCAAGGUCCUGCUUCCCUCAUGACAUGAACUCAUUUUGAAUGUAAAGGCAAUGUCAAAGCCCUACAGCUAUUUAUAACAGAGUAUGUGUUUCUUAGUUCACUCCUCAGAGAGGAAUAUUGCUAUUGUGAAUACACAGCUACUCAUAACCACCAUCUUAAAAAUCUCUACUCCAAACUAUUUACUAAUGCAUUUAAGUAUUUAUUUUCUUGUAGUGAAAGGAAAUCAAGAUAAUUCUAAAACUGUGGAAGAAAACAAACAAACAAAAAAACUAUAAAGGAGAAAACAGAAGAUUCACAUAUUGUAACCAUUAUUAAUCUCAAAAUAUUUUCCUCCAGGCUCUUGCCUGUGACAAGCUUAUGCUGAGUGAUACUGUGCUGUGUAUAUGCGGUUUGUACUCAAUGCCAGGUCAUAAGCAUACCAUUUCCUUUUUAUUAAAAAAAUACUUGGCAUACAUCAAAGUAUGUUUGCAUUAAAACUAUGCAAACAUCAGUUUUAAUAAUUGUAUAAAUAUUCCAUCGUAAGGACAUUCCAUAAUUUAUUUAAUCACUUUGGUAGUGCUGGACAUUUAAUUUUUUAAAAAGUCAAGUAAUGCCAUGAUUAAUGCCUGCUUAUAUGAACCUGUUUUCAUUUCCUGAUUAUUUUCUUGGGCCAGAUUCCCAAAAGUGGAAUUACUGAAUAAAGUAGAUAAGUGUUUGUAACGCAUUUCUUCACACACACACACACACACACACACACACCCAUCAACAAAUUGCUUUUCCUGAAGAAGCUUCCAGUAGCGUAUUAGAGAGCCUGUUGCACCACCCCAUCCUCAGCAAUGAGAAUUUCUAAUCUUUGUUACAUUAA
Molecule: long non-coding RNA, 1733 nt
Organism: Cebus imitator (Panamanian white-faced capuchin)
Lineage: Eukaryota; Metazoa; Chordata; Mammalia; Primates; Cebidae
Exons: 3
Source: RefSeq, a predicted model, not a curated record